RNAcentral lists this ribosomal RNA (253 nucleotides) under uncultured bacterium. RNAcentral's name for it is "partial 16S ribosomal RNA". It matches the Rfam family "Bacterial small subunit ribosomal RNA", at positions 524 to 776 of the family's 1533-position model. The record is from RNAcentral.
UACGUAGGAUGCAAGCGUUGUCCGGUUUUAUUGGGUUUAAAGGGUGAGUAGGCGGCCUAUUAAGUUAGUGGUGAAAACGUUCGGCUUAACCGGAUACCCGCCAUUGAUACUGAUAGACUUGAGUGCGACAGAGGGUGUUGGAAUGUGUGGUGUAGCGGUGAAAUGCUUAGAUAUCACGCAGAACACCAAUUGCGAAGGCAGAUGCCUAUGUCGUAACUGAAGCUGAGGCACGAAAGCGUGGGGAGCAAACAGG